GGAAGAGUGCACAGAGGUUACAUAUUUCAUGUAUGGAGAUAGUUGGCAGCCAUCAUCAACUCAAGAGUCAAUUCAGGUUCAAUAGGGAACUCGGUCUCUUUCCCGCUGGCGAAUUGAAGAUUCCAGUAAAAAUAUUGGCAAAUCUUCUCGAGAAUGGUGGUGCUAAUCUCAGGAAAAGUCACUUCUCUGUGCUGCGAUUCAGCAAAAUUUCCUGGGGAAGUAAGCAUAUUUCGAAUCGUCUGAGAAACCAUGGCAGCAUCUUUGUGGAUUACGAACUCAAAACCCUCAGCGCUGAUCAAUUUUACAGUCUCUUCCUUCUUCAUUUCGCUCUAAACUAUCUUGCGAACUUGAGAGAGAUUCUUGUUCCCUCUCCCUAUGAACAAAAAG
RNAcentral lists this unclassified non-coding RNA (387 nucleotides) under Hevea brasiliensis (rubber tree). Lineage: Eukaryota; Viridiplantae; Streptophyta; Magnoliopsida; Malpighiales; Euphorbiaceae. The record is from RNAcentral.